UAUUUUAAUAUCAAGUGUGAUUUUAUGUUUUGUUUUUGUUUUUAAAUCCAAUCAUGAUUUUACACAGUCUAGAUCAAAGAGUGAAUUUUCAAGCUCAGCGUGAUUCAAAUUCCCUCUUUGCAGAGUUUCUGAUUCAUACUCAAAAGCUGUGGGCUGCUGGGAGCAGAUGGUGUCCACAUUUUUUGACCACAAACAGCCUGCUGUUGACUGUUCUGUCAGACUCUAGUUAUUUGUUUCAGUCAUUCUUUUUUUUAUUAAAAUUGAUUUACAGCUCCAAUAUUAGCAGUUUCCAUCUUCACCAGUGGUGUUUGCCUUGGUGUUUUUUGUCAUAUCAUUGCAAAACCAAAUAGGCCUGUUUAGUUGGAUAAAACAGUCCUGAGAAGAUCUCAGUAGUGGGAUUAUUGGUGUGUAGAGGCUUCAUCAAAUUACGAAAAUAGAUUUUGGGAAAGAAAUUCUAGGUUUAUUCUAAACAAAAUCAGCCAAUAUAUGCCUACAUAAAUAUUACCUUAGUAGUUUGACUGAUGAUUGUUUCUCAUGAUGUUUCAGCUGUAUGCACUAGAGGGGCAUAAGCACAUAAUCAUUGAGAGACUGAUGGUGUGCAGUGGAUUCAGCUGAAACAUGCACAUCUGGCAGCACCAGCAAAAAACAACCUGUGCAUUGGCACAGGUUAUGGAUAAAAUAGAUACUUAAGUGACAACACUGACUGUGCAGUUAAUUCACCCAGUCAAACAGUUGUAAUUUUUUUCAUUCUGCUUAAUGUAGACUAAGUUAUAGUAUUUAUAGCUUGACAAAAGAGUGUGUGUCAGAUGCUUCUGCUCUGUUUAGAUGUUUGAGCCUAAGCUUGUCAUCUAUUAUAGGGCAGCAACUAAUUAUGUUCAUUAAUUAAUACGCCAGUUAUUUUCUUAAUUAAUAGAUUAACUGUAAUCCAAAAAAUGCCUUUUCUGUGAUGAUCAACAGUCCAAAACUGAAAGACGUUUGCCAUUGUUUAUUUUAUCAAGAAAGUCUAAGAAAACCAGCAAAUAUUAACAUAUGAGAAGCUAAAACUAGAGAUAUUUUUGCAUGUUUGCUUAUUAAAUGAAUUAAUUACUCAGCAAAGCAGUUUAAUUAAUUUUCUGUCAAUCAGUACCCCUAACUCCUAAUAUACAAUCUUUCAUUAGGUAAAGUACAGGGAUGAUGCCAACAGAAGCUGCCUUUUUGAAAAUAACUUUAUUCAGUUUCAGAAAUAUAGCUUAAUGGAACAGGCAAACUGACAUCAAUGGGAUACAAAAUGACCACAAAGAAAUGCUAAAUAAACACCUCAAAAGACACAAAAGAUCUCUUAAUCUCAUGUCUUCUCUCUUUAUCUUUCUCCCACAUGCAGACAAGUUGUCCUCAAGUCACCAUAUUAAAUAAUAUCUGUUUUGCAUUAACUGGGAGCCUGAGGUGGUACAGUUGCACCAGAACAGCUGGUAGGGCUCCUGCUGCUGGAGUAAAAGGGUGGCUCUGCUCUUUAUUUACCUGUUGCCAUGAUGAAUCUUAGUAUCAAAGCUGCUUUGAUGAUGGCUUUUUAAAGGCGUCAUGCACAAACUUAAGUCCGAGUUAACUGAACUCAGGCAGUGGAAAGAUGCCUGUAAUGAUGUCUAAAAACAGUGGAGAGCACUGGGAACACUAGAAAGGAUUUCAAAUCAGUCUAAGCACAACAAUACUUGAAUGUUUUUAUUUCUUCAAUAAGUAAGGCUGCACAAGAAUUAGUUUUAAUAAUAUAAGUAUGCCUUUCUUUAUAUGGGUACAUGAAGCCACAUAAGGGAAAGCAGAAUUAGAUUUAGAAAACUGUUUAGGGAAGUUCUGAAUUUAGGAAGACUAAUUGUUACUGUUUUGGUGUGUACUGUUCAAGGCAGGAACAGACAUGGCUGUAACAUAAUUGGUCUAGUUUAUGUUUUUUUUUACUUUAUAUUUACUGUAAAUGUGUAUUACUUAUCAGAAAAUUAAAGCAAACAUAAGAGCAUCUAUAAUGUAAUCUAAUGUGCAUGUAAGAUUAUGGGCACUGACAUUAAUUUUCAUUAAUUUAUGCUGAUCAAAAGCGUCCAUUAAAAAUAUUUAAUACAUCAUUCAGAAAAAAUAAUUUAUUGUACCCAAGGAGCUUCAAACAUCUGUGGGCUACUUUGGAAAUCCAACUUUUCACUUGGAUACUUUUAUUAGAAAAAACAAACAAGCCAACAACAGGUCAACUUUCCUCUGGUCUCCUGAACUGAUUGUUUUGAAAAAGUCCUGUGAAAUGCUUUUUUUUUACAGAGCCGAUUCCCUUCACUAUUAAUCUACCAAGAUCUAAUCAAGCCAAAAUCAAGGCCAGAACUUUGGGGGUCCAUUUGAAGUCCCUGUUACAAUGGAUUGCAGGGAAGACAAGGACAAAACAUCCUGAGAAACCUUCACACCUCCAACAGGCACAUCAUUUUGAAUCGAGUACCACUGUAG
Long non-coding RNA from Monopterus albus (swamp eel), 2451 nucleotides. RefSeq lists it as uncharacterized. NCBI's taxonomy places the organism in Eukaryota, Metazoa, Chordata, Actinopteri, Synbranchiformes, Synbranchidae. The transcript is spliced from 2 exons. The record is from RefSeq and is a predicted model, not a curated record.